RNAcentral lists this long non-coding RNA (449 nucleotides) under Gossypium raimondii (Peruvian cotton). RNAcentral's name for it is "long non-coding RNA (GRAI_LNC009053)". Lineage: Eukaryota; Viridiplantae; Streptophyta; Magnoliopsida; Malvales; Malvaceae. The record is from RNAcentral.
UGGUAAAGUCAUAUUAGAAUAGGCCCUCUAGUUUAAGUGGUAAGGUAUUAGCUUUCUUGAAGGUCUUAUGUUCGAAUCCUCACGUGAGCGUGGAUGAUAAUUUUUGCUUCGGUUGUCUGAUAGAAGUUCGGUGGAAGUGAAAUUCUGAGGUAGUUAAAAGUUAGUGGGUCGAUUUAGUAGAUUUAGUGGUUAGUGGAAUGUUAGGAUAGAUUUGAAUUUUCUUUUUUUAAAUUUUUAUUCUUUUUCUCUCUCUUCUCUACUUUUUCGACGUUCUAUUUUUCCCCUCUUUAUAACUUUUGUUCCUCUUUCGUUUUCCUUUAAUUUUGUUCAUAACCCGUUGAUUCUUAUUAUUGCUAUCGUAAUUUUCAGUACUUCUCGCGUGGUUAAGGUAAGUGGGGUUUCAUUAGUUGUAGUUUUUGACUUCUGUAAGACUGUUUCAUUCUUUUUGU